RNAcentral lists this ribosomal RNA (253 nucleotides) under uncultured prokaryote. RNAcentral describes it as "partial 16S ribosomal RNA". It matches the Rfam family "Bacterial small subunit ribosomal RNA", at positions 525 to 777 of the family's 1533-position model. The record is from RNAcentral.
ACGGAGGGGGCUAGCGUUGUUCGGAAUUACUGGGCGUAAAGCGCACGUGGGCGGCUUUGCAAGUUAGAGGUGAAAGCCCAGGGCUUAACCCUGGAAUUGCCUUUAAAACUGCAUCGCUAGAAUUGUGGAGAGGUUAGUGGAACUGCGAGUGUAGAGGUGAAAUUCGUAGAUAUUCGCAAGAACACCAGUGGCGAAGGCGGCUGACUGGUCCGGUUCUGACGCUGAGGCGCGAAAGCGUGGGGAGCAAACAGGA